UCCGAUAUGGUGUAGUGGCCAACAUGAUGCCCUCUCAUCGCUCGUGAGAGGUUAGGCAUAGCCCCGAGUUCGAUUCUCGGUUUCGGAA
This 88-nucleotide transfer RNA is filed under the name Colletotrichum sublineola. RNAcentral describes it as "tRNA-Glu". It matches the Rfam family "tRNA". Rfam says of the family: Transfer RNA (tRNA) molecules are approximately 80 nucleotides in length. The record is from RNAcentral. Lineage: Eukaryota; Fungi; Ascomycota; Sordariomycetes; Glomerellales; Glomerellaceae.